RNAcentral lists this ribosomal RNA (253 nucleotides) under uncultured bacterium. Its description in RNAcentral is "partial 16S ribosomal RNA". It matches the Rfam family "Bacterial small subunit ribosomal RNA", at positions 524 to 776 of the family's 1533-position model. The record is from RNAcentral.
UACGAAGGGGGCUAGCGUUGUUCGGAAUUACUGGGCGUAAAGCGUGCGCAGGCGGCCUUCCAAGUCAGGGGUGAAAGCCCAGAGCUCAACUCUGGAAUUGCCUUUGAGACUGUGAGGCUUGAGUACGGGAGAGGUGAGUGGAAUUCCCAGUGUAGAGGUGAAAUUCGUAGAUAUUGGGAAGAACACCGGUGGCGAAGGCGGCUCACUGGCCCGAAACUGACGCUGAGACGCGAAAGCGUGGGGAGCGAACAGG